GCGCGGAGGAGGAGCGUUAACGGCGCCGGUCAGCAGGGCGGACAUGGCGGCUCACAGCUCUCAGUACCUCUGCUGAAUUGUUUCUCAGCGCUUAAAUCGAAGACUUUCCUGAUAAUAUGAAGUUUGAUACCACUCGGAAUCGUGAACGAGCUUUGAUUCCGUCCUGCGCGGCCACGCGGCGUGUCUGUCUGUGCGUAAAGCUGUGAGUUUGUGAGGCUGCAAAGUUUCCAGGCUGAGCUCCAGAGCAGGGCGGCUGUUUCAGAGGAAUGAAGCCCUCUGAUGGCCCCACAAUCCCUCUGAUCCCAGCUCUCUCUGGACUAUCUGAGGACUGACUGUCUCAAACCAAAACAGCCAGCUGAAGACAUGAACCAUCACUGAACUUCAGGAAAGAUUGACAGUUUGACCAAGAGAAGAUUUAUUCAAGCUUACAUUGUGAAAUCUCUAAAUCAUGUUUUUUAUACUUAAGUGCACAAAAUAUAUUUAACUAUGCACACAAAAAAUCAUAUGUAAUAAAGAGAGAUAAUAAAGACCAAAUAAUCAAAUAUAAAA
Long non-coding RNA from Cheilinus undulatus (humphead wrasse), 549 nucleotides. RefSeq lists it as uncharacterized. Lineage: Eukaryota; Metazoa; Chordata; Actinopteri; Labriformes; Labridae. The record is from RefSeq and is a predicted model, not a curated record. The transcript has 3 exons.